GACGAACGCUGGCGGCGUGCUUAACACAUGCAAGUCGAGCGGGAUCCAACCGGGUGGCAACACCGGGGAAGAUCUAGCGGCGAACGGGUGAGUAACACGUGAGCAACCUGCCCGAAGACUGGGAGUAACACCGGGAAACCGGUGCUAAUACCGGAUGUCGUCAUUAGGCCGCAUGACCUGAUGAUGAAAGGAUUCAUCGGCUUCGGGGAGGGGCUCGCGGGCUAUCAGCUUGNGGUUGGGGUAACGGCCUACCAAGGCGACGACGGCUAGCUGGUCUGAGAGGACGACCAGCCACACUGGGACUGAGACACGG
RNAcentral lists this ribosomal RNA (313 nucleotides) under uncultured bacterium. RNAcentral describes it as "bacterial SSU rRNA". It matches the Rfam family "Bacterial small subunit ribosomal RNA", at positions 28 to 329 of the family's 1533-position model. The record is from RNAcentral.